UAUGAUGGCUUGCUGAAGGACUUAGUGUUACAGAUGAUGCAGAUUUAAACGUGGGAUGUGAUGGUCCAAGUCAAACAUUAUCCAUAUUUAAGUGGUUGCAAUCAGAAAAGAUGUAUGGGUGGGUAAUGUUGAUCAUAUACUCAAGAGAAACAAAAGAGGAAGGGGCCUCUUACCUAGUUUGUUUUAAAACAUGUGGGUAUUUUUUGGAUAGCUGCAAGAAUUUGCAAUUUUCAAAUUUAUUUUCAGUAAUAAUGAUGUUUAUUGCAGGACAUGUUUCCCCCCCUCUCUUACAGUUUCACGGGCAUGACAUGUUAUUUUCUCUCCCUAAUAACAAAAUUGCCAUAUUUAUUACAUGGUGGGUUAUUCUGACCUGGUUCAGAAACAUGAUAAAUAAUCAACUCAAUGAGAUAUUGUUAGCAGAUCGAGAGAGACAUCCAAGCUUCUCUUGUCAGGGUGAGACUAAACUGCAGAAAAUGUGGACGGCCAAAUGUCAUACAGCAUUCAUCACUUGCAAGGUAACUGACUUCUUCUGAAUUCACUCAGGCAGAAAGUGAACAGCUGUCAAUGCUGAUCAAGGAGAAGGGAAAUACAGCUUCCAGGGAUGAGAUUCCUCCCCCCGCUUUGUUUUCAACAUCUUUAGUUAAAACAACGUUAUUUAGCCACUAAAAAAAUUGGAAAGUAACUACUACAAAAGUCUAGACCAGCGGUUCUCAACCUGUGGGUCCCCAGAUGUUGUUGGACUACAACUCCCAUCAUCCCUGAUCUCUGGCCUUGUUAGCUAGGGAUGAUGGGAGUUGUAGUCCAAUAACAUCUGGGGACCCAUAGGUUGAGAAAGGCUGGUCUAGACACUGAAAAUCUUUUGGUUUGUCUAUUCAGUGUAGCCUAAAUAUUUGGCCUGAAACAGACAUCACACUCAACCAUGGUUUGCUCUCCUUAAGCAGAGUUUAGAUAAUAACACAUAAUGUCUGUAUUUACACAACACAACAAGCCAGAGUUGCUGGGCUUGUUGUGAUUUAUGGGAAGGGUAGGGAACAUUUUUCAGCCUGUGGACCAUGUUGCCUUCUGGGCAACUUUCUGAGGGGCACAUAGUGCUGGAUGGGGCCAGAUGCAAACAUGGACAGAACACCAAAUUUAAAGUCUGCCUUGGUAAAGGUAAAGGUAAAGGGACCCCUGACCAUUAGGUCCAGUCGUGAUGGACUCUGGGGUUGCGGCGCUCAUCUCGCUUUAUUGGCCAAGGGAACCGGCGUACUGCUUCCGGGUCAUGUGGUAGGCUAAUUUAUACACUGUCAACACCCCCCACCCCCAAUCUAUCAUCUAACUAGAAAAACAAGAGGCACAAUCAGAUUUCAAGAACACAUUUCAGGUGGGCAAAAACACCUGGCGUGAGAAGCAGGGUCUGACUGAUCAGGAAUCAGCUGUGUGCUGGUACACCCUGGCUGAUCAUACAGUACCUUGCGCCACCAAAUUUGCUUAUAUCUACUUUAGACCCAGCUACCUAACUUGAUCUUAAUUUUCCUAUUACAGAAGUGGAGCUAACAGGGAAGAGGGAAGGAAGACUUCCCUGAAGUUACUAGGUACUGUGAAAUCAUGUCACCGUUAAGUUACUGUAAGAGAAAACCAGAAGCUGAUUUCAGUUAAAUUGCGGGCUUGGUGCAAGCAGGGGGUUUGUUGCUGCCAUUAUUCAAAGCUUGAAGUUCCACCGACCUCUGGAGGUCAGGAGGAAGAGCUUUCUGUAAAAUCAGAACCGAAAAAGAGAGAGAGAAGAGCAAUUAAAAAGACCCGCAGAGACAGAAGCACAUCAAGGAGAGACAAAGGGUAGCAAUUUGUGUGGAAUGGAGUAGAGGCAAAGAGCUUCAGGAACGGAAAUGGAAUUCUGGGAGGUUUGCUUUGGCAGUGAUGACAUAGGAGAUCUCAGUUGAGCACAUCAUUAUCCAGAGCAAUGCUUUCCUCCCUGCUGGUGCUCAAAAGAACAGAAGGAAAAGAAACACCUGAAAGGGGUUGGGGGAAGGAUACAUCAAAGAGUGCCAGAAAAACCCCUGAUAUGUUCAUUUUCACAGAACUGUAAAACUAUUUCCCCCCUUCUCUCCCUGGCAGAAACAACAUGUUGACUCAGAAGCAAGUCCUACUGAUUUCAAUGAGGCUUACUCCUGUGUAACUGGGUAUCUGCCUGCAGCCUGAACAACUUAAAAGUUAUUUCCAGGAAAGCCACAAAAGUAUGUCUUGGUUCCUUCCCACCUCCAGUGCCCAGCAUUUUGAGACAAUUUAUUCAAACCAUAUGAGCAAACAACAUUCAGCAAUACUAAACCACCUUGCUGCUGUUUGCCUGCCAUGUUACGCUCUCGUCUAUUUAAUUCCUUUCCCAGAGUCAAUUAUUUGAUGUAAUAAAAAUAAAUGUCACUGCAAUUAUAUGAUGUGACUGCAGAAUCUCCGUAAUGGAAUAUAUUUUAAUGCGAUGUAAAUCAACCAAGCCUUAUAUAAUCUGCAAAUUAGCCUGAUGCAACACUUAACAAAAGCUGUGAUAGGCGAGUGGAAUACAUUAGAUCAAUUGAGGUGAUUUCCUGAAGGACCUGAUUUGGAGAAGAUGGGUUGCAUCCUGAGCUGGCCUUCUGGGAACAGAAGUGUCCUUUCCUUCCCAGAAGGUGGUGAAGAUACCAAGGGACGGCCCAGUUAGAGGAAGGGUGGGGAGCCAGUAACCCUCCAAAUGUUGCUGACCUACAACUCCAACCAUCCCUGAUCAUUAGCUGUGCUGAAGUUCAACAAAGUAUGGUGGGUCACAGGUUUUCAGCAAAUUCCCCCUGCAGUCCACAUUCUGGAUGGUUCGCCAACCCUCCAGAGCAACACUGUCUUCCCACUUUCUCCAGUGGGAUCUCACAGGAAUUCUGCUGUGUAUAAGACCACAAUAAUCAGGAUCAGGGCCCAUUAAUCCAGCAUCCUAUUCUCACAAUGGCUAACCAGACGCUCAUGGGAAGCCCAUAAACAGAAUCUGAGCACAACGCCACUAUCUGUCAUGGACUGGCUGGACUCAGAGGAAUGGUUGGAGGCACCAGCUGUGGAACCACCAAGGGAUGAAGGUUCAGAGCCUGGAUAUUGGUGGUAGGACGACAAUGAGUGGUCAAAGGAAGAAGAGAGAGAAGCCUGGGAGGAGGAGGUGUUGGAAGCUGGAAAGGUAACAGAGUUGUAUUGAUCAGGGAGAGUCUGCAGCAGACAGAAGUCCAGAAUUAGAAGCAGACGUAGAAGCAGGAGAGGAAGAGGCCCAAGAGGCAGAGAUGAAUCCAGCUGGUGAAGAAGCCAGGGUCUCUCCCCCUCCUGGUGUGACAAGCUCUCAUCCUCACGAUUCUCCCAGGGUCAGAAGAGGUAUGAAGAGGGAGCAGCAAAGACAGGUGUGCCAGCAUAGUCUCAGAUUGCUUGGGAAGGAGGAGGAGGAGGCGAAGACUUAGGCAGCUGUGGAAGGUGGAGACCUUCAGCCCCCACAACUGCCUCAAGGGGCAAGAUCUACCGAGAAGAGUUGCUGUACUCAUUAGGCCCGGCACUACUGAG
This is a non-coding RNA of Podarcis lilfordi (Lilford's wall lizard), 3537 nucleotides long. The record is from the annotation of a GenBank genome assembly. NCBI's taxonomy places the organism in Eukaryota, Metazoa, Chordata, Lepidosauria, Squamata, Lacertidae.